AUUGAACGCUGGCGGCAUGCCUAACACAUGCAAGUCGAACGGCAGCACAGAGGAGCUUGCUCCUUGGGUGGCGAGUGGCGGACGGGUGAGUAAUGCAUCGGGAUCUACCCUGACGUGGGGGAUAACCUCGGGAAACCGGGACUAAUACCGCAUACGUCCUACGGGAGAAAGCGGGGGACCUUCGGGCCUCGCGCGGCAGGACGAACCGAUGUGCGAUUAGCUAGUUGGCGGGGUAAUGGCCCACCAAGGCGACGAUCGCUAGCUGGUCUGAGAGGAUGAUCAGCCACACUGGGACUGAGACACGGCCCAGACUCCUACGGGAGGCAGCAGUGGGGAAUAUUGGACAAUGGGCGAAAGCCUGAUCCAGCAAUGCCGCGUGUGUGAAGAAGGCCCUCGGGUUGUAAAGCACUUUUAUCAGGAACGAAAUACCACGGGUUAAUAACCUAUGGGGCUGACGGUACCUGAGGAAUAAGCACCGGCUAACUUCGUGCCAGCAGCCGCGGUAAUACGAAGGGUGCAAGCGUUAAUCGGAAUUACUGGGCGUAAAGGGUGCGUAGGCGGUUGUUUAAGUCUGUCGUGAAAUCCCCGGGCUCAACCUGGGAAUGGCGAUGGAUACUGGGCAGCUAGAGUGUGUCAGAGGAUGGUGGAAUUCCCGGUGUAGCGGUGAAAUGCGUAGAGAUCGGGAGGAACAUCAGUGGCGAAGGCGGCCAUCUGGGACAACACUGACGCUGAAGCACGAAAGCGUGGGGAGCAAACAGGAUUAGAUACCCUGGUAGUCCACGCCCUAAACGAUGCGAACUGGAUGUUGGUCUCAACUCGGAGAUCAGUGUCGAAGCUAACGCGUUAAGUUCGCCGCCUGGGGAGUACGGUCGCAAGACUGAAACUCAAAGGAAUUGACGGGGGCCCGCACAAGCGGUGGAGUAUGUGGUUUAAUUCGAUGCAACGCGAAGAACCUUACCUGGCCUUGACAUGUCCGGAAUCCAGCAGAGAUGCAGGAGUGCCUUCGGGAAUCGGAACACAGGUGCUGCAUGGCUGUCGUCA
RNAcentral lists this ribosomal RNA (1041 nucleotides) under uncultured bacterium. RNAcentral describes it as "bacterial SSU rRNA". It matches the Rfam family "Bacterial small subunit ribosomal RNA", at positions 28 to 1057 of the family's 1533-position model. The record is from RNAcentral.